RNAcentral lists this ribosomal RNA (226 nucleotides) under uncultured Bacteroides sp. RNAcentral's name for it is "partial 16S ribosomal RNA". It matches the Rfam family "Bacterial small subunit ribosomal RNA", at positions 383 to 607 of the family's 1533-position model. Lineage: Bacteria; Pseudomonadati; Bacteroidota; Bacteroidia; Bacteroidales; Bacteroidaceae. The record is from RNAcentral.
CUGAACCAGCCAAGUAGCGUGAAGGAUGAAGGUCCUACGGAUUGUAAACUUCUUUUAUACGGGAAUAAAGUUCCUACGUGUAGGAUUUUGUAUGUACCGUAUGAAUAAGCAUCGGCUAACUCCGUGCCAGCAGCCGCGGUAAUACGGAGGAUGCGAGCGUUAUCCGGAUUUAUUGGGUUUAAAGGGAGCGCAGACGGGAGAUUAAGUCAGUUGUGAAAGUUUGCGG